This is a long non-coding RNA of Salvelinus sp. IW2-2015, 951 nucleotides long. RefSeq lists it as uncharacterized. The record is from RefSeq and is a predicted model, not a curated record. Lineage: Eukaryota; Metazoa; Chordata; Actinopteri; Salmoniformes; Salmonidae.
GGACACUCAAAAACAGAUUCACCUGAAAGAGAGCAAGAUGUCAUUCACUAUGCAGAGAUAACUCACAUUAAACCAACAAAAAAACAGGAGGAGCGAAGAGGUAUACCAGAGCUGGAUGUCCUUAGAGACAACCCUAACCUGACAUUAGUUUAUGAUACACUCCAGUUACAUCGCAUGGCUGCCAGCGAGGAUGUUGACACAGCAUGAAGGAUAGAGAACAGCAAGUUACUGAGAGGGUGACAUGAUAAUUCACAUCCAAGAGAAGGCGUUACAUCCUAUAGUGAAAGCGGAGACAAAAUUAUAGUAAAUAUUCAUCUUGAAAAGUUCCCAUUUAACCAUUGUGCUGAUGUUAUCAUUUCAGACUUCCUUUGUUGGUCGUUAUCACAGUCUUUUGUUGAAUUGGGGCCUCGAUGAGAUUCACUGAUGCAGACAAAUUCAAUAACUAUGCCUAGGGUUAUUAGUAGGAUGAUCCCUCUUCAAGUGCCCAUUGUCCCAAUUUAUAGGUUAAAGCAAAUGGAACCUCUUUUAAUACAAUUCACUAGUGUGUUUGCUAUGCUACUGCUGGUCCAAAGCUUCUUUUCAGUUCUGUCUGUUCUGUUUGCAUGUUGGUGCCUCCCCUGUAUCUUUUAUAGCUGGUCAUUGUUUAGCUUGUCAGUGGAUAGCAGCUGUGUACAUAAAAAAGCAGAUGUUUGGUGAGAUAAAUCCACCUACACCUUAGAAGCGAUGGCUAUUAGGUUACGUUGGAAACAAAGUCCACAUGGAAAUUUUUCCUUUCACCAUGUAGAGGGAUAGAUCUUUUUGCCUUUUGACUCAGAAAAUUAUCUUUGGUGACAUUUUACUCAUAUUGCUUUUCGCAAAAUGCAGACGUGAUUAAGUGAAGUUCAAAUCAAAUCUUAUUUUAUUCGUUACAUGCGCCGAAUACAACAGUGAAAUGCUUACUUACAAGCCCUA